RNAcentral lists this transfer RNA (74 nucleotides) under Rickettsiales bacterium. Its description in RNAcentral is "tRNA-Met". It matches the Rfam family "tRNA". Rfam says of the family: Transfer RNA (tRNA) molecules are approximately 80 nucleotides in length. Their secondary structure includes four short double-helical elements and three loops (D, anti-codon, and T loops). Lineage: Bacteria; Pseudomonadati; Pseudomonadota; Alphaproteobacteria; Rickettsiales. The record is from RNAcentral.
UGCGGGUUGGAGCAGUCUGGUAGCUCGUUAGACUCAUGAUCUAAAGGUCGUAGGUUCAAAUCCUACACCCGCAA